GCUCGCUUUGGCAGGGCAUAUACUAAAAUAGCAAUGAUACAGAGAAGAUUAGCAUGGCCCCUGCGCAAGGAUGACACACAAAUACUGUCUCGCUGCCUGUCUCU
Molecule: small nuclear RNA, 104 nt
Organism: Onychomys torridus (southern grasshopper mouse)
Lineage: Eukaryota; Metazoa; Chordata; Mammalia; Rodentia; Cricetidae
Source: RefSeq, a predicted model, not a curated record